GCGGGGGGAGGUGCGAGUCAGCUCCUUGGCUUGGGUGGGCUCCUCUCCGCCUCCCCGCUCUACGCAUGCGCUUCUACCUGAGCCGAGCCUACAAUCCAAACCUCCCUCGCCCAACUCUGCCCGCCACAGAUGCCCCUGGGCUCCCCUCCAGACCAUGCCCCGCAUCCCCGCCAGCCUGAAGCUCCUGCGCACCUGGGCUGGGGGAGCCGGUCGGCACCCCCGGAGUCGGAGCAUCACCGCCGCUUGGAGUUGCCACAGCGACGGGGAGGAUCUCGAUGGAGACAGCAUCCCCCGGCCCCCGCAGGAUACGGAUUAACCCCUUCUCCUCCAGCUCCUCCACCUUCAGCUCCAGGGCCGAGGGCCGCGUCGGGGCAGCGGGAGGUGCUCUCUCAGGCUCGGGGGGACGCCUGGAGGCGCCCAUGGCGGUCGAUUCGCUGAAGCGCUCCUGCGAACCCCACGGGAGGGGUCAGUGCCCACCAGCAGGCUCCUUGGCACCAAAUCCCCAUCCUCUUCCCGGGGUGGAGGGAGAUGUCAAGCCUAGAAGCCGAAGCUGGCCUGUUCUUGGGUGCCCGGCCCACCACCCGCCCCAGCCUCACCCGCAGGGUCUCCAACUCCUUGCGCGCCUGGCUUAGCUGUUUUUCCAGUUCUGCAAUCUUGGCCAUGGAUUCGUUCUCCGCGUCCCGAAGCCGCUCUGUCAGCUGUAGCACCGGCACAUGAACUGCCGACCCGGACUUCCACAUGUCAGUCUCCCUGACGAUUCUAUCACAUUCCCAGUAACAGCGGGAGGCCCCGCCUUCACCCGCUCCUGCCACAUCACCCUUUCCCGUCAUUGUGCUAAUAUGUCAGAGUUUUUGUUCAUGCUGUUCCUUCUGCCUGGAAUGCCCUUCCCUGUUCCCAUGGCUGCCUAUAAAGCCUGUAUCUGUCUGUGAGACAUAGUGCCAGUGUCACCUUUUCUGGGAAGCCUUCCUGAUGCCCCAAGUGGUGGCCACCUCCCUUCUCAGAGCUCCCAGGCACAAUUCCAUGACAGCCUGUCACACUAAAUUGUCCCCCACUUAGACUGUGGGUCCCUGAGGGCAGAGUGACCUGUCUCGUGGGCACCUGCCACACAUCUCAUACAUACUAAGUGCUAAAAAAUAAAUGUUUGUUGAAUGCAUAA
Molecule: non-coding RNA, 1156 nt
Organism: Macaca mulatta (Rhesus monkey)
Lineage: Eukaryota; Metazoa; Chordata; Mammalia; Primates; Cercopithecidae
Source: RefSeq, a predicted model, not a curated record